UGGACCGAGUUCAACAGGCGCAGCGCACUCUCACCAGGCAUCCACUCUGAAGUCCGACCAAGCCUGCUGACGAGGCUCAGUCGCAGGCUGAAGCACCGCCAAUGCCUCUCCCGUGCCAGGAUGCACAAAACUCCAGGCCAGCCGUUUGCAGAAUUUAGGGGUCACUUAAUCCCACAGGGCUUUUCAUGCCUGACAUCCUUGGCUCCCACCCACAAUGCGCACGCCUCUCAUCGCCUACGCCCAGCCCACACGUCCUCACCCUGGCACUGCCCUUUCCCCUCCCAUGACUCAUCCAGCCCAUCCCAACGUUUUCCUGCUAGUUCCCAGACGCUGCUCACUGGCUGCCCUGCCUGGACUGUCCCUGACCACGUGCCCCACACGGAGGAAACCAGGAGAACUACUGCCCUCCUCUGCCCAGGCCUGCUUACCACACCACCGAAUGGACAGUCUCCCCACUUUUAUUCCUUUGUAGCUUUAUAGGAAUUAAAAGUGGUGUAAAUCAUCAGUUCAUGGGUGGGGGACCUAUCACAGUUCUUCAAAUGGUAAUGGUAUUGGGAACUGAACCACACUGAGCUACAUCCCAAGUCGUCGUCAUCGUCGUGGUCUUCUUCUUCUCCUCCUCCUCCUCCUCCCCCUCCCCCUCUGCUGCCCCUCCCCCUCCCCUCUUCUUCUUCUUCUUUUUCUUCUUCUUCUUCUUCUUUUUCUUUUUCUUCUUCUUCUUUUCUUCUUCUUCUUCUUCUUCUUCUUCUUCUUCUUCUUCUUCUUCUUCUUCUUCUUCUUCUUCUUCUCUUCGUCUUCUUCUUCGUCUUCUUCUUCUUCUUCUUCGAGAAAGGCAGCCUGAAUAUUACAGAAUCAGAAAUUGGAAACGAUUGCUGUUGUUCAGAUUUCAAAAAUCAAGACCAAGAAACCGAAUCUGGGUGGCACUAACAAAGCUGUUAACAGUUCUCAGAUGCAGGGAGACCAAAUCAGUGUACAGUGCAUCCAACCACAAACUGGAGAGCAGCUCAAUUAAGAAAGGUAAAGUUGGGUCAAUUAGAAAAGGGAACACACCAGGUAUGGUGUGACACACCUGUAGUCCUGAGUACUUGGCAAGCUGAGGCAGAAGGGUUGAUCUCAAAUUCAAAGCCAGCCUGGAAAUCUUAGUGAGAACUUGUCUCAAAAUAAAAGAAUAAAAAAAGAUAUAUCUCAGUGGUAAAGCACCCUUGGGUUCAAUCUCCAAUACAAAAAAAGAAAAGAAAAAAGCAUAGAAACAAAGUAGGAAAGUAAAACUGUUAAAUAUAAGUGUCUCAAGAAGACUCUUGUGCUUUAGAUAUUUGAAAGACUUAAAAAAGAAUUAAAGGAUCAUAGAGGGAUAGGAGAGUAGCCAGCCCAUAAGGCUAAUGUGAGCCAAUAUAAAUGCUCCCUGACCUACUUUUUGUCCUUGCAAUAGUAUAAAAGGCAUGUGCAUGCAAUAUAAAAUGUACCUGGAAUUUUUUUAUUUUGAUUUUUCCUGGGCCAGCAGUACACAAUAUUAUAUAUGAUAUUAAACUGUAAUGGUGGACAGUGGAACUGACACUCUAGCGUACUGUAUUGCUCAGCUAGGAUGUUCAAUAGCAAGGUGUUUCCAACUAACUACAUUUUCCAUUUACAAUGGAUUUAUUGGAAGUCGAGGAACAUGAGUAGUUCUGUCUUUGUUUAGAUAAUUCUUAUCAACUACCUGGACACUGAAACUGAAACUCCUCUUAAUUUUCCUUUUCCUCUUACAUUAUGGAAAUAAAAAUGGAGAUUAACAUCAGCAUUAUAUUUAAUUAAAUAUAAAGAACUUUUCAAUGUUUUGGAACAAGAACUCACAAACUCUUUUUAUAAAGGAUCAGAGACAAAUUUGGCUGGGUGCAGUAGUGCAUGCCUGUAAUCUCAGCACUUGCCAGAAUGAGGCAGGAGGAUCACUGUACGUUUGAGGCCAGCUGGACUACAUAAACAAGUUCAAGGUCAGUCCUUACUGCAUAGUGAAACCCUGUCUCAAAAAAAUAAAAAUAUAAAAUAUAAAAUAAAUAAAGAAUAAAGGGUCAGGGACUAUAUAUGUUUGCGGGCUACCCCAGUCUAUGAUACAGGUGUUCAGUUCUGCUGUUUUGGUAUGAAUGUAGCCUUAGACAACAUGAAAUACAAUAGGCAUAUCUGUGUUUCAAUAAAACUCUUAUAAAAAGAGGCAAUGAGUUUGCUAAAACCUGCUCUAGAAUUCAGUUGUAUUAGACAUUGUUCCUUGCAAGUAUUAAAUCCAUAUCUAGAUUCUAAAAUAUUUUAUAUGCAUAUAAAUUUUAAUAUAAAGUUCUUAUAGAAAAUACAUUUCAAUUUGUCAGUAAUGUUUCACCUAAUAUUAAGUGCAAAUGAAUUUGAUUUUAAUUUCAUCUAUUUUUUCAUCUAAAGUUAGGUCCUAAUUUGCCUUUUUCUAUUUCAAAUCAUAAUGAUAUGAAAAGCAAUAAGACCAGUGAUUAGAAAAGCAUUUCCAAGAGACAAAGAUCAGUGAAAUACAUUUUUUAAAAGGUGAUGUUGGGAAGUGUUUUUUUUUCCUGGGUGCCUGUUUCAUUUUGUACUAUGGCAAAAAUAAGAAGCAUUUACUCUCUUUUGUGUAUAGUUUCCAGUAAGAAAUCAUUCUCCAAUUCUAUCCCCUGCUCAGGAUGCUAAGUGAACCUGUAGAGACAUAUUAUCUGUGGAGAAGUUCAAGAAGCCAAGUGAUCAAUUAUUUGCCAAAGAAGCAGAAUAUUGCUUACUUGCCUACAGACCUUGAAAAGAAACAAGAAAAAUUAGCAGGGGAAGAACAGAGAAAAAACUGAAAAGGUCUUAGAGUGUUAUCAAGCAUCUUACAAAACAGUUUAAUUUUCUCAGUCCAGAUGUAGCAAAAGAUAAUGAAUAAAUCAUGUUCCUAUUUGAUAAUAUGCUCUGUCAGGUUACUAUUUUGAGGGAAAACAAGGACUCUGAUGCCAAAAUGUUUUCCUUUAUUUGGUAGCUGUAACUUUUUCAAUAUUUUCAUUUAAUUAUUAACAAUAUUUUGUAACCACUUUUCACAUAUUGAGAGCUAAAAAGGGAUCAAUUACAGUCAUCUUUAAGUUCAUUCAAUUAGUAUUAUUGAGUAACUAUUACGCACCUAGCAAACAUCAAGAUGAUAGAUAUAGGAAAAGUAACAAAAAUAUCUCUUGUCAUGGAGCUCAUUAUUCAUUGGACAGAGGCAGAAAAUAAACUAGUAGUGUAAUAAGUAAUACAUUCAUUUCUAUACUUGAGGAUGGUAAAUGAUGAAUUCUGAAGGUGAGGACAGGGAACAAAAAGUUAAAAUACUUGACUAAGGUCAACAUAAGGGUCCUGAGGAGAUGAAAUUGUGAACACAGACUUAAAAUAAAAUGUAUAAGUUAGCCAAGAACAUACUUGGGUGAAGAACAACAUAUCAGAGAGUGUAUACAACUGGAGUUAAAGUCUGAAAAUAAAAGUAUUUCUGGAAAAUGGAAACUUGGUUAUAAGCUUGCAACUGGGAUAAGACAGGGUGUUACCUUGUAGGGAAGGAGUUCAGGGGUUAUAAAAUUUUAAGUUGCAGGUAGGAUAUACUUUGGGCAAUUCUAAUGUCCCGUUGUGAGUACAUUGAACAUCCAGUGCAAUUUUAAACAAACGUAAGAUAAAAUCUGACCUAUGUUUUAACAGGAUCAUUUUGGCUUCUAUGUUGUGCAUUGACUGAAGGAACUUGGUGUCAGAUACUGGUACAACAAAGUAUCUGAGACUGAGUAAUCCAUAAAGGACAUCAAUUUAUUUCUUCUAGUUCUAGAGUCUAGAUACAGCCACAUCUUCAUCAGCUCUGCCCUGAUUGACAAUUGCAAAAUCGUGUCUUCCCUGACUCUGAUGUGAUCUACUCCCAGUAUCCUCACUCAGCCAUCCAACCACAAAUCUCUUCUAUGGCUCUGCAUCAUCUGCAGCGGAAAUUCCCUGUGUACCUCUCCAGCUCGUCUCCCAUUUCCCGCUGGCUCCCACUUGAAACUCUAGCAGCUCUGCUCCACUGCUUGUUUUUCCUUUAAAGGUCUGUGCUAUUUUCCUUGCUGCCCAUCAUGCCGCAGUUCAUGUUGUUAAUGCCACCUUAAAGAUGUGAUGGCCUUCGCUUCCAUUUAUGACAUUGCUUUGUAAUUAUCUGUUUGCAUGACUCUUUUCUUUCUUGGACGACAUGUUUAAAUCACAUUACUAUCUAUGAGCAGAAUCCACUAUUUGAUUUGCCUCAUUGCGAAUGCUCAAUACAUAUUGACUAACUGGAAAUGAGAGUGCCCUCGAUGUAACUCUGUGAUUCCAAGAAGAGCAUUUUGCUUGCUGCUUGUCUAGGUCUUAAAUGUAAAGAGAACAAUAUAUCUAAGGAAAGAACUUACCGUGAGAUUAGCUAUGAGUUAAUGAUUCUGUUGCACCUAACACUCAAAGGUGUUAAUAUCUGUGUUGGUUACUUUUCUCUCAUUGCUGAGAUAAAAUACUUGAUGCCUAAAAUUAAGGAGGGAAAGAUUUAUUUAGCUCAUGGUUUGUGGAGGUUUCAGUCUAUAACCAAGAUAGGGUGGCACAUAGCAGAGGGCAAAGAUGGCUGCAGAAGACACCAAAAGCAACAAGAGCAAAAGAGGAGGAACACGUGAAGAGAAGACUCUUUCUGACCCUUAUUUUACAUGUGGGCCACACUCAUUUGUGUGCAGACUUAAGCCCAUAAUCACAGCAUAGGAGCCAUGAAUCGUUCACACACUCUGGAAGCCUGACCCUGUGACCACAUGAGGCUUUGUGGGAGGAUACCCAGAAACAAACCAUAACACUCUUCCCCUGGCCCCCCAAGGACUCAUGCACAUCCUUUAUACAAAAGACAUUUAGUCCAUCUCUAAGAUCUUCCAAAAUCCUAGAAGUCUGAGCAUUGCUGAAAAGUCCAAAUCCCAAGUCUCCUCCAAGGCAUAAGGCAAACUUACCUACAAGCUCCUGUGCAAAUGAAAAGUUAAACACUUCCAACAUUCAAUGGCACAAAAUAAAUAUUACCAUUCUAAAAGAUACAAACAGAGGAAUACCAAAGAAUGGAACCUAAUCAAGUUCAAAGUCCAGCAGGGAAGACAUUGAGUUCUGCAGUUCCAUGUGGAACACCUGAAGUAAUGUGUUGUAAAUUGUAAGCUCCAAAAGGGUUCUGUGAUCCCACCCCUAUGGCACUUCUGGUGAUUGUAGCUCCCAGGGCUUCUCUCUUAGGCCUGAUCUGCUCAGUCUUUGCAAUUUUCCUUAGAUGAUCCACAUUUGUGGCUUUUCCAAACAUCUGGGUUCUCCAUUGCACCUUUGGUUUACCCUCACAGCUACACACAUUGCCUUCUCAGGGGCACACUGCCUGGACUUCCAAAGCCCUCUUCUGAAAUCUGGGUGGAAGCCUUUUAACCUCAGGACUCUUGCAUUCUGCCUCCACCUAAAACCAGUAAUAUGUGGAAGAUGCCAAGGUCUGCUGCCAGCUGGAGCAGUAGCCAGGGUUUCUUCUGUCCUGGCUGUAGGAGCUGAGUGCCUGGAUUAUUGAGCACUCUGAAUCUGAUUCUGGGGUAUUAAAAGAACUCAGAGGAAGAUGCUUUUAACAUGCUGGCUGUACUACUCAAACUACUAUACUGUUAAUCUCUCUUAUUUUCAUCUGCAUUGAAUUCCUAGCUUAUAUUUAUUCAGCAAAUAUUAGUCAUUUUAUUUAUCAAAGAUAAUCCCAGAGCAUAAAACUACCCAAUCUAAAACUAUCAUACUUACUAUGAUUGCCAUAACAGUGAUCCUUUUAUAAGUGUGUCAGUUGAUUUAUGUGGCUCAAAACAUUCAGAGUUAACACUAGUUCAAUUCAGGAGCUUUAACAAAAAGGAAGUUGAAGAUAACGAAGGUGGUAAUGGAGAAUCUGCUUUGAAGGACAAGCCAUAGGCAUAGCAGUUUCUCUCCUGGAACCACCUGUACUUCUCUGAAUGAGUAUCUGUGACUGCUCUAGGAAUAUGAGGUGUAGCCAGCAAAUGGGUAGAAGCCUUCUAGAGGAAUAAAAUGAUAAUUUUCCUUACAGGAAGUAAAAUAAUAAAAUGCAGUAAAGGAAACACUUAAAAUAUCUCUCAAAAAAUGCUAAGUAUCAUCUUUCUAUCUAGAAAAUGGGCACACAGGGAAAAAAUGAAUGCCAACAAUUCAACUAAAACCAUCAAUAAUUUUAAUUUUUCCUGCAGUUUUAAACCUACUGAUUUGUUCUGAUUACUCAUGUUGUAUCUAGAAAAUCUUUUUAAAAUGUGUUAGUACUGUCAAUUGAUCUUUGGAAGAAAAAAAUGCCAGAAACUCGAAAAAUACUGUUAUAACAUGUUACCCAUCUCUAAACAAAGGAGCAACAAUUAAUUUAUCAUGCUUUGUUUAGUUUUGCUUUGCUUUAUUUUGAAAUGCAUAUGUAGAUAUUACUAACCAUGCAAGUCUGCUGCUUGGUUUGUUGCCAGGAGAUGCUAAUCAUUUUUAUAGUUUAAGCAAUAAUGUUUCAUAUACACUUACAAACAUAUGCAUUUGACAUAAGCAGAGGCAGUAAUUAAAUGGUUUAAACAGCUUACAUUUAAAUUUAAAUGAAAUGUUAAUAAACUCUCCCAUGACAAUAA
Cavia porcellus (domestic guinea pig) is the source of this 6599-nucleotide long non-coding RNA. RefSeq lists it as uncharacterized. The record is from RefSeq and is a predicted model, not a curated record. Lineage: Eukaryota; Metazoa; Chordata; Mammalia; Rodentia; Caviidae. The transcript is spliced from 3 exons.